AUAUUUUAAAAUAAGUAAUAUUUCCUUGACAUCUUCAAUAUCAUGCUCUAAUAAGCUAUU
Molecule: transfer RNA, 60 nt
Filed under: Lyponia sp. UPOL ZL2014
Lineage: Eukaryota; Metazoa; Arthropoda; Insecta; Coleoptera; Lycidae
Description: tRNA-Phe
Source: RNAcentral